GCUGGGUGUGGCGGCGCAUACCUGUAAUCCCAGCUACUCAGGAGGCUGAGGCAGGAGAAUCGCUUGAACCCAGGAGGCGGAGGUUGCAGUGAGCCAAGAUUGUGCCACUGCACUCCAGCCUGGGUAACACAGUGAGACUGUCUCUU
Pongo abelii (Sumatran orangutan) is the source of this 146-nucleotide unclassified non-coding RNA. It matches the Rfam family "Metazoan signal recognition particle RNA". From Rfam's summary of the family: The signal recognition particle (SRP) is a universally conserved ribonucleoprotein. It is involved in the co-translational targeting of proteins to membranes. The record is from Ensembl. NCBI's taxonomy places the organism in Eukaryota, Metazoa, Chordata, Mammalia, Primates, Hominidae.